ACGGUAGUCUUCGUAGGUGUAGCCUGCGGAGGAUCAUUA
This 39-nucleotide ribosomal RNA is filed under the name uncultured Cortinarius. RNAcentral's name for it is "partial 18S ribosomal RNA". The record is from RNAcentral. Lineage: Eukaryota; Fungi; Basidiomycota; Agaricomycetes; Agaricales; Cortinariaceae.